CAGUCGCCACGGGAAUACGUAGGUGGCAAGCGUUGUCCGGAAUUAUUGGGCGUAAAGGGCUCGCAGGCGGUUUCUUAAGUCUGAUGUGAAAGCCCCCGGCUCAACCGGGGAGGGUCAUUGGAAACUGGGAAACUUGAGUGCAGAAGAGGAGAGUGGAAUUCCACGUGUAGCGGUGGAAUGCGUAGAGAUGUGGAGGAACACCAGUGGCGAAGGCGACUCUCUGGUCUGUAACUGACGCUGAGGAGCGAAAGCGUGGGGAGCGAACAGGAUUAGAUACCCCAGUAGUCCCUGUCUCUUAUAC
Molecule: ribosomal RNA, 301 nt
Filed under: uncultured bacterium
Lineage: Bacteria
Description: partial 16S ribosomal RNA
Rfam family: Bacterial small subunit ribosomal RNA
Source: RNAcentral